AAUAUUGCGCAAUGGGGGGAACCCUGACGCAGCAACGCCGCGUGAGUGACGAAGGUUUUCGGAUCGUAAAGCUCUGUCAUCAGGGACGAAAAAUGACGGUACCUGAGGAGGAAGCCCCGGCUAACUACGUGCCAGCAGCCGCGGUAAUACGUAGGGGGCGAGCGUUGUCCGGAAUUAUUGGGCGUAAAGGGUGCGUAGGCGGCCUUAUAAGUCAGAUGUGAAAUACCAGGGCUUAACUCUGGGGGUGCAUUUGAAACUAUUUGGCUUGAGUGCAGGAGAGGAAAGUGGAAUUCCUAGUGUAGCGGUGAAAUGCGUAGAGAUUAGGAGGAACACCAGUGGCGAAGGCGACUUUCUGGACUGUAACUGACGCUGAUGCACGAAAGCGUGGGUAGCGAACA
Molecule: ribosomal RNA, 398 nt
Filed under: uncultured bacterium
Lineage: Bacteria
Description: partial 16S ribosomal RNA
Rfam family: Bacterial small subunit ribosomal RNA
Source: RNAcentral